UGGGGAAUAUUGCACAAUGGGCGCAAGCCUGAUGCAGCCAUGCCGCGUGUAUGAAGAAGGCCUUCGGGUUGUAAAGUACUUUCAGCGGGGAGGAAGGUGUUGAGGUUAAUAACCUCAGCACUUGACGUUACCCGCAGAAGAAGCACCGGCUAACUCCGUGCCAGCAGCCGCGGUAAUACGGAGGGUGCAAGCGUUAAUCGGAAUUACUGGGCGUAAAGCGCACGCAGGCGGUCUGUCAAGUCGGAUGUGAAAUCCCCGGGCUCAACCUGGGAACUGCAUUCGAAACUGGCAGGCUAGAGUCUUGUAGAGGGGGGUAGAAUUCCAGGUGUAGCGGUGAAAUGCGUAGAGAUCUGGAGGAAUACCGGUGGCGAAGGCGGCCCCCUGGACAAAGACUGACGCUCAGGUGCGAAAGCGUGGGGAGCAAACA
This 427-nucleotide ribosomal RNA is filed under the name uncultured bacterium. RNAcentral's name for it is "partial 16S ribosomal RNA". It matches the Rfam family "Bacterial small subunit ribosomal RNA", at positions 355 to 774 of the family's 1533-position model. The record is from RNAcentral.